This 269-nucleotide ribosomal RNA is filed under the name uncultured bacterium. Its description in RNAcentral is "partial 16S ribosomal RNA". It matches the Rfam family "Bacterial small subunit ribosomal RNA", at positions 524 to 776 of the family's 1533-position model. The record is from RNAcentral.
GACGAACCGUGCGAACGUUGUUCGGAAUCACUGGGCGUAAAGGGCGCGUAGGCGGCCUGCCAAGCGUGUGGUGAAAGCCCGGGGCUCAACCCCGGGUCGGCCGUGCGGACUGGCGUGCUCGAGCACUGUAGGGGCGGGUGGAAUUCCGGGUGUAGCGGUGGAAUGCGUAGAGAUCCGGAAGAACACCGGUGGCGAAGGCGGCCCGCUGGGCAGGAAGGCUCGCAAGAGCCGGCUGACGCUGAGGCGCGACAGCGUGGGGAGCAAACGGG